AUGAUAUGCUUCUUCGCAGUUGAGUGGCACUUCAUAGAUCGUGUGGCAAGACAAUUUGGAAGAAGACAAGAUAUUCCAAUUGAGGAGAGCAAGGAGGAAAUGCUAUCUCUGCAUCGGUUCGAUCGAAGGAACAAUCAGGAUAUAUCGGAUUGGGCAAACAAACACCGUGCAUGGAUAGAAUUUUGGAAUCAAAGAGACACACUAGUGCAAUCAGAGAAUAGACCUCACAAUCAGUCAGCAUAUCAGAAGUAUCAAGUGUGGUAUGCGGAUCGUUAUCGGUUAAAGCUAAAGCCUGGUUGGACUCACGAGGAGUGGUCGGAGUUGGUGUCUGAAGACCCGGAGACUGCAGAAGGUUAUCAUACCUUCAACACGGCUGUGAGAGACACCAGAGGGGCUCACGUUGACUAUGCACCGAUGCAUGAUGAAAUGGUAGUCUGUUUGACCUAUUCUAACAAACUUGCAUGCAUCAUGUUGUCUUCUUUCAAAUACAUAAGUUUGGUUUGUUCAUGA
Molecule: ribosomal RNA, 510 nt
Filed under: Triticum aestivum (bread wheat)
Lineage: Eukaryota; Viridiplantae; Streptophyta; Magnoliopsida; Poales; Poaceae
Description: partial small subunit ribosomal RNA
Source: RNAcentral